This 468-nucleotide ribosomal RNA is filed under the name uncultured bacterium. Its description in RNAcentral is "partial 16S ribosomal RNA". It matches the Rfam family "Bacterial small subunit ribosomal RNA", at positions 28 to 507 of the family's 1533-position model. The record is from RNAcentral.
GACGAACGCUGGCGGCGUGCUUAACACAUGCAAGUCGAACGGAAAGGCCCUGCUUUUGUGGGGUGCUCGAGUGGCGAACGGGUGAGUAACACGUGAGUAACCUGCCCUUGACUUUGGGAUAACUUCUGGAAACUGGGGCUAAUACCGGAUAUGAGCUCCUGCUGCAUGGGGUGGGUUGGAAAGUUUCGGCGGUUGGGGAUGGACUCGCGGCUUAUCAGCUUGUUGGUGGGGUAGUGGCUUACCAAGGCUUUGACGGGUAGCCGGCCUGAGAGGGUGACCGGCGACAUGGGGACGGAGAUACGGCCCAGACUCGUACGGGAGGAAGCAGUGGGGAAUAUUGCACAAUGGGCGGAAGCCUGAUGCAGCAACGCCGCGUGCGGGAUGACGGCCUUCGGGUUGUAGACCGCUUUCGCCUGUGACGAAGCGUGAGUGACGGUAAUGGGUAAAGAAGCACCGGCUAACUACGUG